RNAcentral lists this ribosomal RNA (431 nucleotides) under uncultured bacterium. RNAcentral describes it as "partial 16S ribosomal RNA". It matches the Rfam family "Bacterial small subunit ribosomal RNA", at positions 29 to 507 of the family's 1533-position model. The record is from RNAcentral.
AACGAACGCUGGCGGCAGGCUUAACACAUGCAAGUCGAACGCCCCGCCAGGGGAGUGGCCGACGGGUGAGUACCGCGUGGGAACAUACCCUUUUCUACGGAAUAGCUCUGGGAAACUGGAAUUAAUACCGUAUACGCCCUACGGGGGAAAGAUUUAUCGGGGAAGGAUUGGCCCGCGUUGGAUUAGCUAGUUGGUGGGGUAAAGGCCUACCAAGGCGACGAUCCAUAGCUGGUCUGAGAGGAUGAUCAGCCACAUUGGGACUGAGACACGGCCCAAACUCCUACGGGAGGCAGCAGUGGGGAAUAUUGGACAAUGGGCGCAAGCCUGAUCCAGCCAUGCCGCGUGAGUGAUGAAGGCCUUAGGGUUGUAAAGCUCUUUCACCGAUGAAGAUAAUGACGGUAGUCGGAGAAGAAGCCCCGGCUAACUUCGUG